GCUGACGAGUGGCGAACGGGUGAGUAAAGUAUCGGAACGUACCUUUCAGUGGGGGAUAACGUAGCGAAAGUUACGCUAAUACCGCAUAUUCUGUGAGCAGGAAAGCAGGGGAUCGCAAGACCUUGCGCUGAUUGAGCGGCCGAUAUCAGAUUAGCUAGUUGGUGAGGUAAAGGCUCACCAAGGCGACGAUCUGUAGCGGGUCUGAGAGGAUGAUCCGCCACACUGGAACUGAGACACGGUCCAGACUCCUACGGGAGGCAGCAGUGGGGAAUCUUGGACAAUGGGGGCAACCCUGAUCCAGCCAUGCCGCGUGAGUGAAGAAGGCCUUCGGGUUGUAAAGCUCUUUCGGCCGGGAAGAAAUCGUAUGGGUUAAUACCCUGUGCGGAUGACGGUACCGGCAUAAGAAGCACCGGCUAACUACGUGCCAGCAGCCGCGGUAAUACGUAGGGUGCGAGCGUUAAUCGGAAUUACUGGGCGUAAAGCGUGCGCAGGCGGUUUUGUAAGACAGGCGUGAAAUCCCCGGGCUCAACCUGGGAACUGCGCUUGUGACUGCAAGGCUAGAGUAUGGCAGAGGGGGGUGGAAUUCCACGUGUAGCAGUGAAAUGCGUAGAGAUGUGGAGGAACACCAAUGGCGAAGGCAGCCCCCUGGGCCAAUACUGACGCUCAUGCACGAAAGCGUGGGUAGCAAACAGGGUUAGAUACCCUGGUAGUCCACGCCCUAAACGAUGUCAACUAGGUGUUGGGUGGGUAAAACCAUUUAGUACCGGAGCUAACGCGUGAAGUUGACCGCCUGGGGAGUACGGCCGCAAGGUUAAAACUCAAAGGAAUUGACGGGGACCCGCACAAGCGGUGGAUGAUGUGGAUUAAUUCGAUGCAACGCGAAAAACCUUACCUACCCUUGACAUGUCCAGGAGCCUGAAGAGAUUUGGGUGUGCCCGAAAGGGAACUGGAACACAGGUGCUGCAUGGCUGUCGUCAGCUCGUGUCGUGAGAUGUUGGGUUAAGUCCCGCAACGAGCGCAACCCUUGUCGUUAAUUGCCAUCAUUUAGUUGGGCACUUUAACGAGACUGCCGGUGACAAACCGGAGGAAGGUGGGGAUGACGUCAAGUCCUCAUGGCCCUUAUGGGUAGGGCUUCACACGUCAUACAAUGGUCGGUACAAAGGGUUGCCAACCCGCGAGGGGGAGCCAAUCCCAGAAAGCCGAUCGUAGUCCGGAUCGCAGGCUGCAACUCGCCUGCGUGAAGUCGGAAUCGCUAGUAAUCGUGGAUCAGCAUGUCACGGUGAAUACGUUCCCGGGUCUUGUACACACCGCCCGUCACACCAUGGGAGCGGGUUCCGCCAGAAGUAGGUAGCCUAACCGCAAGGGGGGCGCUUACCACGGCGGGGUUCGUGACUGGGGUGAAGUCGUAACAAGGUA
Molecule: ribosomal RNA, 1416 nt
Filed under: metagenome
Description: bacterial SSU rRNA
Rfam family: Bacterial small subunit ribosomal RNA
Source: RNAcentral